Salvia hispanica is the source of this 1499-nucleotide non-coding RNA. Lineage: Eukaryota; Viridiplantae; Streptophyta; Magnoliopsida; Lamiales; Lamiaceae. The record is from RefSeq and is a predicted model, not a curated record.
CUUCACCUGUGGGAACCCUAGCGUUUCCUUCCGCCGCUUCUUUCCCGCUAUCACUGCCGGCGAGAUUUCCGAUUGAAGAUACUAUACCUUCUGACCAUGUCCUUGCAACGGAGACCGAUGCAAUUUUAGGUUUCUCCUCUGUUCGAAUCUCCCCGCUGCUGUUGUUGCCGCCGCUGUCGCCCACCGAGUUUUCGGUGUAGGUGGCGCGGUCGAGAGCGAUAGUUGCUGAGGCUCUUCCGCCUCCACCGCCUCCGCCGUUUCGGUUUGCAUUCCGGGCCUGCCUCGCUUUCUUCAUCUCUUCCCACCACUCCGGGAACCCGUGGAUGUGAAAACAUGUCUCCUUGGUGUGUUUCUUCCCUCCACAAUGGCUACACACUAAUUUGCUCUUGUCUUCUUCACGUCGGUGGCUCGGAUUCCUCGGACGUUGGUGGUUUUGCGAUGUUGGUGCUCGAUUUCUGUCAAAUACGGCGAGUCCCAUUCCGAUUCCAGAUUGUUUGGUUUCUGGAUUGAGAAGCUUCUCAUUGACGGAUUCCCGUCUAACUAGUCUGUAUGCUUUCCUUGUUGUCGGGAUUGGAUCCAUAUUCAGGAUCUCUCUCUUGAUUUUCCCAUAUCUGUGGUCAUCUAAUGCCCAUACAAACUGGUAUAAUCUGUGCCUCUGCGUGUUCUGAUUAUAUUUCUCGAUGCUGGAUGGAGUGUCCAUCGGGUUUGGGUCCCUGGUCUGAGAUCUGGAAUUGGUCGGCGCCGCUUCCGUACGUUGUGGCCAGACUAUCCCACAAGUCGUAGGCCGUUUCGUAUUGGGAGACCUCAUUGACGAGGCUGGCGUCGAUGUUGUUUAUGAUCCAGUUGAAACAGCAAUCGUCCCGCUGCUGCCAUCGAUUGUAGUUUGGGUCAGUCGGUGGGAGAGGAUCUGUAACUCCGGUUAUGUGAGAUGCCAGACCUUUCCCACGGGUUCCCCUUCUCAUCAGUUUCGCCCACAAGGGAUAGUUAUCCCCAUUGAGUUUUUCUGCCAGGCGCACCUCGCCUAGUGAUUCAACCGAUGAAGGCUGUUGGUUUGGGUUUUUCUGAGACAUACUCAGUCUCAUGAAUUCAGCGAAUUGUUUGGCUGAAAGGGUUAUCGGUUGGUUGUUCUUUGGAGGGUUAUCAGAUUCAGAAUCUGACAUUGUCGCUAGUUGUGUUUUGCAGGUUUCAAAAGGUCGGGGAAGGUACUCGAGACUGUGAUGAUAUUUUUCUGAGUCUCAAGCCGGAAUAAACCUGCUCUGAUACCAUCUUAAAGAUGGUAAUCGAGAGAGGCGAAAUUCUUAGAAUAAGGCAUAGUUUAGAGUUUUGGGAGUAGAAGAUGUUUUGUAUUUCUCUGAUAUAUUUUACAAUGUAAUUCCUCACCUCAUUAUAUAGGUGUGAAUAUGAGCUAAGUAUGGAAACACAAUUAAUUGUAAUCAAUCUAUUCUAGGAUAAUAUGUAAUUGAAUCAAUCCUAGUCAAUCAAUUAUUCUCUGCAAUCAA